AGGGUUCGAUUCUGGCUCAGGAUGAACGCUAGCGACAGGCUAACACAUGCAAGUCGAGGGGCAGCAUAAAAGUAGCAAUACUUGGUGGCGACCGGCGCACGGGUGAGUAACGCGUAUGCAACCUACCUAUCGGAGGGGAAUAACCCGGCGAAAGUCGGACUAAUACCGCAUAAAACAGGGGCACCGCAUGGUGAUAUUUGUUAAAGAAAUUCGCUGAUAGAUGGGCAUGCGUUCCAUUAGGUAGUUGGUGAGGUAACGGCUCACCAAGCCGACGAUGGAUAGGGGAACUGAGAGGUUGGUCCCCCACACUGGUACUGAGACACGGACCAGACUCCUACGGGAGGCAGCAGUGAGGAAUAUUGGUCAAUGGGCGAGAGCCUGAACCAGCCAAGUCGCGUGAAGGAAGAAGGAUCUAUGGUUCGUAAACUUCUUUUGCAGGGGAAUAAAGUGCAGGACGUGUCCUGUUUUGUAUGUACCCUGAGAAUAAGGAUCGGCUAACUCCGUGCCAGCCGCAGC
RNAcentral lists this ribosomal RNA (516 nucleotides) under uncultured bacterium. RNAcentral's name for it is "bacterial SSU rRNA". It matches the Rfam family "Bacterial small subunit ribosomal RNA", at positions 8 to 518 of the family's 1533-position model. The record is from RNAcentral.